CCAGACUCCUACGGGAGGCAGCAGUGGGGAAUAUUGCACAAUGGGGGGAACCCUGAUGCAGCGACGCCGCGUGAGUGAAGAAGUAUUUCGGUAUGUAAAGCUCUAUCAGCAGGGAAGAAAAUGACGGUACCUGACUAAGAAGCCCCGGCUAACUACGUGCCAGCAGCCGCGGUAAUACGUAGGGGGCAAGCGUUAUCCGGAUUUACUGGGUGUAAAGGGAGCGUAGACGGUUAUGCAAGUCUGAAGUGAAAGCCCAAGGCUCAACCAUGGGACUGCUUUGGAACUGCAUGGCUGGAGUGCGGGAGGGGCAGGCGGAAUUCCUGGUGUAGCGGUGAAAUGCGUAGAUAUCAGGAGGAACACCGGCGGCGAAGGCGGCCUGCUGGACCGCGACUGACGUUGAGGCUCGAAAGCGUGGGGAGCGAACAGGAUUAGAUACCCGGGUAC
This 444-nucleotide ribosomal RNA is filed under the name uncultured bacterium. RNAcentral's name for it is "partial 16S ribosomal RNA". It matches the Rfam family "Bacterial small subunit ribosomal RNA", at positions 331 to 793 of the family's 1533-position model. The record is from RNAcentral.